UGGCACCUUGAUGUCGGCUCAUCACAUCCUGGGGCUGUAGCCGGUCCCAAGGGUUUGGCUGUUCGCCAAUUAAAGUGGUACGUGAGCUGGGUUUAAAACGUCGCGAGACAGUUUGGUCCCUAUCUGCCGUGGGCGUUGGAAAUUUGAAGGGGGCUGCUCCUAGUACGAGAGGACCGGAGUGGACGAACCUCUGGUGUUCCGGUUGUCACGCCAGUGGCAUUGCCGGGUAGCUAUGUUCGGAAGAGAUAACCGCUGAAAGCAUCUAAGCGGGAAACUUGCCUCAAGAUGAGAUCUCACUGGAGCCUUGAGCUCCCUGAAGGGCCGUCGAAGACUACGACGUUGAUAGGUUGGGUGUGUAAGCGCUGUGAGGCGUUGAGCUAACCAAUACUAAUUGCCCGUGAGGCUUGACC
RNAcentral lists this ribosomal RNA (410 nucleotides) under Prymnesium parvum. Its description in RNAcentral is "partial Bacterial large subunit ribosomal RNA". It matches the Rfam family "Bacterial large subunit ribosomal RNA", at positions 2519 to 2925 of the family's 2925-position model. Lineage: Eukaryota; Haptophyta; Prymnesiales; Prymnesiaceae. The record is from RNAcentral.